RNAcentral lists this ribosomal RNA (494 nucleotides) under marine proteobacterium 'Tomales Bay 2-31'. Its description in RNAcentral is "bacterial SSU rRNA". It matches the Rfam family "Bacterial small subunit ribosomal RNA", at positions 30 to 508 of the family's 1533-position model. Lineage: Bacteria; Pseudomonadati; Pseudomonadota; Gammaproteobacteria; Vibrionales; Vibrionaceae. The record is from RNAcentral.
AUUGAACGCUGGCGGCAGGCCUAACACAUGCAAGUCGAGCGGUAACAUUUCAAAAAGCUUGCUUUUGGAGAUGACGAGCGGCGGACGGGUGAGUAAUGCCUGGGAAAUUGCCCUGAUGUGGGGGAUAACCAUUGGAAACGAUGGCUAAUACCGCAUAGUAGCUUCGGCUUAAAGAGGGGGACCUUCGGGCCUCUCGUGUCAGGAUAUGCCCAGGUGGGAUUAGCUAGUUGGUGAGGUAAUGGCUCACCAAGGCGACGAUCCCUAGCUGGUCUGAGAGGAUGAUCAGCCACACUGGAACUGAGACACGGUCCAGACUCCUACGGGAGGCAGCAGUGGGGAAUAUUGCACAAUGGGCGCAAGCCUGAUGCAGCCAUGCUGCGUGUGUGAAGAAGGCCUUCGGGUUGUAAAGCACUUUCAGUCGUGAGGAAGGGUGUGUAUUUAAUAGAUGCGCACUUUGACGUUAGCGACAGAAGAAGCACCGGCUAACUCCGUGC